Molecule: small RNA, 123 nt
Filed under: Arabidopsis thaliana (thale cress)
Lineage: Eukaryota; Viridiplantae; Streptophyta; Magnoliopsida; Brassicales; Brassicaceae
Description: ATSL119930
Source: RNAcentral
AUGAAUUGAGGAAGAGAUUAAGAUCUAGAAAAGCUCAGAACUUCUUAGAGGGUUGUGUAUUACCGUCAGCGAUGGAUUAACCAUCUCUGGCACACGAUUUUUUCCUCACAGCUCUUCUAUUUA